AUACGGAGGAGGCAAGCGUUGUUCGGAAUUAUUGGGCUUAAAGAGCGUGUAGGCGGCCAAGUAAGUGUCUUGUGAAAUCCCUAGGCUCAACCUAGGAACUGCUCGGCAUACUGCUUGGCUAGAGGUCGGUAGAGGUGACUGGAACUCUAGGUGGAGCGGUGAAAUGCGUAGAUAUCUAGAGGAACGCCGGAGGCGAAAGCGGGUCACUGGGCCGAUUCUGACGCUGAGACGCGAAAGCGUGGGUAGCAAACAGGAUUAGAAACCCGAGUAGUCC
Molecule: ribosomal RNA, 274 nt
Filed under: uncultured bacterium
Lineage: Bacteria
Description: partial 16S ribosomal RNA
Rfam family: Bacterial small subunit ribosomal RNA
Source: RNAcentral